GGCCCCUUGGUGCUUCAGCGCCAUCAAAUGCUUUAAGUUUAAACCUAGCGGUUGGUUCCGUGCUCCCUGCGAUAGGUGAUGGUUAUUAUUGUCGGUUUUGGAGCAGGCUAAAGUGCCUUGAAGAGGCCAGCUGCCUCCCUUUUUUAAGUUGUUAUGCAUGCAAAUGCCCCUGAUAGGUUUGCUGCCUCUCAUAUUGCGCCACCCUCUCUAGUUGAAGGCGCAUUUACUCAAAUAUCAAUGGAAACUAUCCAUCAGACAAUCGAUCAUCCUCACCAUCACCCUUCAAUCUAACGUAUGUGAUUGAUCCUCUAUUCGAUAUUACCAUCCUAUCGACUGCCAAGAACCUACCCUGCCCUAUAUUUAUGAGGUUUACCACAAAUCCUUCGAAGAGAAUCGACUAAGACUACACGCCAGAUGGAAAAGGAACUAUUGGUUUCCAUGUUUUGAGGUUUAUAAGGCAGGAUAUUUUGGAAUGUUUUCAGGGAGGAUAGGGGCAAGAAGAUAUAUGAAGAAGAUGAUGAUAGUUGAAGAAGUAGGGGGAUAAGGAAUGGUUUCAAUGAAGGAAUGGGAGUGGGAAUGGGGUUUGAUGGGAUAACCAGGCAAGAUUUGUAUAUAAUAUCCAGGACCGCUACAUGGUGUUUUGCGUUUUGGGUCUUUGUAGCCAGGGGGGUUGUUGGCAUCAGUAUUGUUCACACCAAUAUAAGCAGUGCCUGCGACCGCUAGAUAGUUACAAUGACCCAUUAGGCAUCCCCUCUGAUAGGGGAGAACCAUUAGCCGAAACUUCGACCACAUGAGGUGACUGAGAUUGGGCUAUUUGACCCGUCUGAUCUGAGCAGCUUAGCUGCUGGCGAGUAGGGCUGACGCCGGCAGUGUCUUUUCGACAGGGAGUGUCGCGUCAAGGCCGGCCUUUUUAUAGCAUGGCUGUACUCCUCCAAAGCAUUAUUAAAGUAGCCUGAAUUGGCUCUACAGAAGAUAUCUUAUAUUCUAG
This 988-nucleotide small RNA is filed under the name Histoplasma capsulatum. Its description in RNAcentral is "hypothetical RNA". RNAcentral also lists the same sequence under 1 other name. The record is from RNAcentral. Lineage: Eukaryota; Fungi; Ascomycota; Eurotiomycetes; Onygenales; Ajellomycetaceae.